CGCGCGCACUCACUAUUCGUAGCUGUGCGCCGUCACCAUUACGGCUCGCCGCUUGCAGUUUGUACGCGCUGGGCUCUUUUGGAUUUAUUUUCGCCUGUUAUACACCACUUUGGAGCAAACGCGAGCAGCGACAAAAGCACUUCCAACGCACUGCAGUCGAGAUGUCGUCCUUGAAAGAUGCGCCAAGCCUCAGCCCCACGUCACGCAAGGGCUUCUCAUUCGCCGCCAUAGAUUACGAUGACGACUACACUGGCCCAGUGGAGACGGUGGAGGAAAUACACCCCCCCUCCAAGUCCACCAGCCGCUCAAAGAAGAAUAAGGCUCGAGACUCGAAAAAACCGAAGAAGAAUAAAGGGGCGGCACCUGUUUCUGAGGUGGACGAGCCCGUUUCCUCCUCAUCUGUGAAGAAGACAUCCGGCAGCAAACCUGUCGCCAUGUCGGACAAUCAAGGCGAGGACUACGCCGACGACUUCGAGGAUCCAGUGGACAGCGACGACUACAUCCCUUCCGUCGGCACGUCGCCACCCGCGGCAGCCCUAAGGCCGGUCACUAAGUCGAAGGCACUUAUGGCCGACGUAGAGGCAGAAGAGAAGCGACUGUACGCUACGGUGCAGGAGCAGCUGCGCCUGGAGAAGGAGGAGGUGAUGCAGCGCAUCGCCAAGUGGGAAGCUGACCAGGCGCAAAAAGCAGAGGAAAUGCGGCAGCGCGAGGAAGAGCUCAAGCGGCAACUGGCUGCGCAGCAGCAACGAGAGCAAGAGGUGAAGCAGCGUCUCAGCGACCUUGUGGAGCAACAGGUUUCUCAACAUGUGGCAGCCGCAAGCGCAGCAGGCAAGGCUGCCGCGGCACCCACGAAUACGGCUACACACCAUGCGGCCGCGAAGGCGGUCGAGAAUGACGAAACCGAGGAUGCGGAUGAACAAGGGACUGGUGUUUCUAGAGCGGAGCUACAGCGCCGCCGCCGCCGCGAACACGAGCGUGCCGUCAGCCUCCGCCGCGCUGAGGAGGAGGAGGCGGCUCACGCGCUCUUCCAGCGCCUCGCGCAAGAUGUACGUGAGGUGUUUCACGAACUUAACCUCUCCGUCGUUGCGGCUGAAAAAGAGCGCCUCAUCAAGGAUGAGCGCUAUCGCCGCGAGCGAGAGCUACGUGACCGACGCGAGGAUAUGACACGCGCGGAGAAGCUGGAGAAGGAGCUGAAGGAACGUGAGGAGCGGGAGGCGAAGUUUUGGGCCAUGGUCGAGCAGAGGGAUGAGAAGUUCCGCGCUUUUCUGGAAGAGCGUAUGAACAAGGAUGAGGAGGAAAGAGAGGCGCGACUAAGGCGCGACCUCGAGGAUCGUGCGACGCGGUUGCGCAAUGAGAGAGAGCUGCGCGAGGAGAUGGACAAGAUGGAGAAAGAGCGGCGCGCCAAGGCAGAGGAGGAGUCGCGUCACCACGAUGGCCUCGUGCUCACGGCGCAGAUAGAGGAGGUGAGCGCUCGGUACCGUGCGCAGCUGGAGGAGGUGAGGAGGCAGAUGGAGGCCGACAGCUUGCGCAAGGAUGAGCUACAGAAGGCAGAACUAGCCAUGAUGGCGAAGCGUCACGAGGCUGCGCUGGAGCAGCUGCAAAGGCAGCACGCGCAGCAGCUCGCCACGAUGGAUGGGCAUGCCGGCAACGUCAGUCGUAUCGAGGCACUGGUGGCAACGAUGCAGGAGACAAUGGAAGCUACGAAGGCCAUGAACGAGAAGCUGUUGGCGGAGCGCAUGUCAGUGCUGAAGCAGAAGGAGCGUCAGCUGGACGAACGGCAGGCCGUGCUGGACGCGAUGGUUGCAGAGAUGAAGGCAAACCAGGAGACGGUGGCGGCUGAGCGAGCCCGUGUGGCCGGCCUGUACGCCAAGUUCGAGCUCGCUUUAUCUUCCUUCAGCAAGAACAGCGAGGAGGACCGUCGCACCUUUCGCGAGGCCCACGCCCACUACGACACCCUCCGCCAGCAAGCGGAGAAGGACCGUCGACUCAUGCUAGGCGAGGUGGCACAGGAGCGCAAGUUGCUAGAGCAGCAGUUUGAAGAGUUCCUCGCGAAGAAGAUGGAGGCGAUGGCGGAGCUGCAGAACGAGCGGAUUGCGAUCGCGCGAGAGCGGGCAGAGGCGUCCAUGGUGCGGGAGCGACAAAAUCGCGACGAGACAGACCUCCUCAAGGCUCUGCGCUCUCGUGAGGAGGAGUACAAGAUGAAGCUGGAGUCCAUAGAGUCCGACCGGGCCACAGCGUGUCACAUGAAGGACGAGCACAAACGCCUGUGCGACGCCGCAGCCGCAGAGCGUCAGGCACUUCAGCAGGAGCGCGAGAAGUUUGAGCUCGAAAAGAAAGAGCUGCUAAGCCGCUUUGAAGCCAUUCGCCGUCAGGCCGAGGACGCUGCCAGCUCCCAGGAGCGCCUGCGGAUUCAGCUGAUGGGGGAUCGCAGCGACGCCCUUGACGGAAACGGAGCCGCCGUUGGGUUGCUGCGCGGGGGGCCGCUGGUGUGCAAUGCAGCCUCCCGCUUUCAAAUGGAUCUAGCACGACAGCGUGCAGUGCUCCAGAACAUAAGCUGAAAAUUCCUCUCCGUGCGCACUUUUCCUCCCCUCUUGGGACAAAGACAGGCUUUCCCACACCAACAUCGUUGCAUCAGUGUGCCCGGUGCGCUGCACCCGCCCCCCCCCCUCCGCCCGCCUCACUUUGCUGUGAGUUCUAUGCCCCGACGCUUUCCGCCAAUACACUCACUCAUCUCCGUUAAAGAUGAUGGCGACGUAGGCAGUGGUAACCCCGAGACGGGCCGAUGGGAACCGUGAACCUUGGAAGGCACACUUACCCCUCUGCUUCCGCGAAUGAGUCAAGACGCGCAUAGACGCUGUACAAGAUGACCAAUGAAUCGGGUCUCUCGUCUUCCGCUCUUCCUUCUUUCUCCUCGAUGAACAUGCAGGAUUGUCAUGAAGAGGAGGGUGCACAGAGAAGGGGUAGGGGCACCGAAGUGGAGGCCAAUCCGACCGGUAGGUAUGCGCAUUCACCUGCUUGUAUUCGGUCUCUCUCUAGAUGGCUUCCCUUCGCAUAGAAAAGAUUGUGAGAGGCAUUUGUGCACACAAAUGUGUGGCUGUGUGUGCGUGCGCGCGUUCGCUUACGAGUGUGCCGUGCCGCAGCAUUACCAAAACAAAAA
RNAcentral lists this unclassified non-coding RNA (3157 nucleotides) under Leishmania donovani. RNAcentral describes it as "gene:LdHU3.30.3770(CDS-product:hypothetical_prote in_conserved)". The record is from RNAcentral. Lineage: Eukaryota; Euglenozoa; Kinetoplastea; Trypanosomatida; Trypanosomatidae.